AAUUUUGUUCGCCAAUAAAGGUGUACACCAACCAAGCCCGGAUUUGUCCCAAGGCGGGUCCUUCUGCAUUUGGUUGAAAAGGUUAUAUUAAUAAAUUUCAAGCGAACGCGGACGAAGAAAUCAAAAGGAGAAUGGAAGGCCUAAUUCCAAUAGUACUGAAAACCAUAAGGAAAAACACAACUCCUCGGCACCGCCGAUACGAAUCUCUGUCUUCUACUUCAAGAAGCUCCGAUUUCUUCAGAAAUGAAAAUGAUUAUUUGAGCAAUCGAUUCGCAAAACAGCCUGAAAUCGAAAAAGUUUCAAGUUUUCACCGGCGAUCGAAAUCUGUUCAUUUUGAUUAUUCUUCAGAAGAUGCUGCUAAGUCCAAGCAAUUCGUGAGACUGAGGAGCCACAGAAUGUUCUCAUGCGUUACU
This 413-nucleotide long non-coding RNA is filed under the name Olea europaea (common olive). RNAcentral describes it as "long non-coding RNA (OEUR_LNC010455)". The record is from RNAcentral. Lineage: Eukaryota; Viridiplantae; Streptophyta; Magnoliopsida; Lamiales; Oleaceae.